RNAcentral lists this transfer RNA (62 nucleotides) under Thyropygus sp. DVL-2001. RNAcentral describes it as "tRNA-Pro". Lineage: Eukaryota; Metazoa; Arthropoda; Diplopoda; Spirostreptida; Harpagophoridae. The record is from RNAcentral.
CAAAAGGUAGUUUAAUUAAAAUUGUAGCUUUGGAAGUUACAGAUGGGGCAUGCCCCUUUUGA